RNAcentral lists this ribosomal RNA (301 nucleotides) under uncultured bacterium. RNAcentral's name for it is "partial 16S ribosomal RNA". It matches the Rfam family "Bacterial small subunit ribosomal RNA", at positions 509 to 807 of the family's 1533-position model. The record is from RNAcentral.
CAGUCGCCACGGGAAUACGAAGGGGGCUAGCGUUGCUCGGAAUUACUGGGCGUAAAGGGCGCGUAGGCGGACAGUUAAGUUGGGGGUGAAAGCCCGGGGCUCAACCUCGGAAUUGCCUUCAAUACUGGCUGUCUUGAGUACGGGAGAGGUGAGUGGAACUCCGAGUGUAGAGGUGAAAUUCGUAGAUAUUCGGAAGAACACCAGUGGCGAAGGCGACUCACUGGCCCGUUACUGACGCUGAGGCGCGAAAGCGUGGGGAGCAAACAGGAUUAGAUACCCCUGUAGUCCCUGUCUCUUAUAC